RNAcentral lists this ribosomal RNA (466 nucleotides) under uncultured bacterium. RNAcentral describes it as "partial 16S ribosomal RNA". It matches the Rfam family "Bacterial small subunit ribosomal RNA", at positions 28 to 507 of the family's 1533-position model. The record is from RNAcentral.
GAUGAACGCUGGCGGCGUGCUUAACACAUGCAAGUCGAACGGAAAGGCUCCUGCUUGCAGGGGCACUCGAGUGGCGAACGGGUGAGUAACACGUGGGUGAUCUGCCCUGCACUUCGGGAUAAGCCUGGGAAACUGGGUCUAAUACCGGAUAGGACCAUCGUUUAGUGUCGGUGGUGGAAAGUUUUUUCGGUGUGGGAUGAGCUCGCGGCCUAUCAGCUUGUUGGGGGGGUAAUGGCCUACCAAGGCGUCGACGGGUAGCCGGCCUGAGAGGGUGUACGGCCACAUUGGGACUGAGAUACGGCCCAGACUCCUACGGGAGGCAGCAGUGGGGAAUAUUGCACAAUGGGCGCAAGCCUGAUGCAGCGACGCCGCGUGGGGGAUGACGGCCUUCGGGUUGUAAACUCCUUUCGCCAGGGACGAAGCGAAAGUGACGGUACCUGGAUAAGAAGCACCGGCUAACUACGUG